UCCUGGCUCACGAUGAACGCUAGCUACAGGCUUAACACAUGCAAGUCGAGGGGAAACGACAUCGAAAGCUUGCUUUUGAUGGGCGUCGACCGGCGCACGGGUGAGUAACGCGUAUCCAACCUGCCCACCACUUGGGGAUAACCUUGCGAAAGUAAGACUAAUACCCAAUGACGUCUCUAGAAGACAUCUGAAAGAGAUUAAAGAUUUAUCGGUGAUGGAUGGGGAUGCGUCUGAUUAGCUUGUUGGCGGGGUAACGGCCCGCCAAGGCGACGAUCAGUAGGGGUUCUGAGAGGAAGGUCCCCCACAUUGGAACUGAGACACGGUCCAAACUCCUACGGGAGGCAGCAGUGAGGAAUAUUGGUCAAUGGACGAGAGUCUGAACCAGCCAAGUAGCGUGCAGGAUGACGGCCCUAUGGGUUGUAAACUGCUUUUAUAAGGGAAUAAAGUGAGUCUCGUGAGACUUUUUGCAUGUACCUUAUGAAUAAGGACCGGCUAAUUCCGUGCCAGCAGCCGCGGUAAUACGGAAGGUCCGGGCGUUAUCCGGAUUUAUUGGGUUUAAAGGGAGCGUAGGCCGGAGAUUAAGCGUGUUGUGAAAUGUAGACGCUCAACGUCUGCACUGCAGCGCGAACUGGUUUCCUUGAGUACGCACAAAGUGGGCGGAAUUCGUGGUGUAGCGGUGAAAUGCUUAGAUAUCACGAAGAACUCCGAUUGCGAAGGCAGCUCACUGGAGCGCAACUGACGCUGAAGCUCGAAAGUGCGGGUAUCGAACAGGAUUAGAUACCCUGGUAGUCCGCACGGUAAACGAUGGAUGCCCGCUGUUGGUCUGAAUAGGUCUGUAAAACAAGCGAAAGCAUUAUUCAUCCCGCCUCGGGAGAGGGCCGGCAG
Molecule: ribosomal RNA, 885 nt
Filed under: uncultured bacterium
Lineage: Bacteria
Description: bacterial SSU rRNA
Rfam family: Bacterial small subunit ribosomal RNA
Source: RNAcentral